This 413-nucleotide long non-coding RNA is filed under the name Equus caballus (horse). RNAcentral's name for it is "lncRNA (ENSECAG00000056471.1)". Lineage: Eukaryota; Metazoa; Chordata; Mammalia; Perissodactyla; Equidae. The record is from RNAcentral.
GAUUUGGAGCCCUGAGGUUUUGGUCACGCUAUUCACACACAAUAACUGACACCUAAUGCACACUCAACAGAGGCAGAAGAACUGAGUGGUUUGAGUGUGCGCUCUGAAGUCAGAGAUUUGGUUUCAAGUGUUGACUCUGUAAACUUGGAUAUGGACCCUUGGGCAGGUGAACAUCCCUUAAUCCUCUUCCCUAAGAUGACAUUUUCACCAGUAUUAUUAGGAAGGAUGGGAACAGGGCUCGCAUCUUUAAUUCACUGAGAUCUGUGUGUGGCUGAGAACACUGACGUGCCUGCGGGCAUAUGGCUUACAAUGUGGAGAUGGAUCUUAUUGCUGCUGGAAGCAUCCCUGAAGCCUAGAGAUAUCCCUCGCUCUCCUUUGGAUGUAGAGACAAGCAGAUCUGCGGAUGCAAGAUG